AAUAAGGAGGUUGAGGAAAGAACUUGUACCCAGAGCUCAGCCCAUGCCUUAUUUUGACAGGCCGUUCAUCCCCAAAAGGUCUGCAAAGCCGAGGACGGUCCCAAAGGAGCCAAAGUUUCAUGUCAAACCCGCCGAAGAAUCAUGUUACAAAGCAACAAAUCAGUGUUUGUUUGGUAGGAAGAUUUGCGAGCAUUCAAUGAUCAAAGAAAAUGAGGCCAUGUGAGCUGCUUUUCAUGGAGCUGCUGAUCAUGCUAAUUCUUAAAUGUUUCCACCAUUUUUUACAUAAUUGACCUGCAUGAAAAUAAUUUCUUGCAUUGUAAUUUUUGAAUUUAGAAUGGUUGGGUGAUAUGAGAGAAUAUGU
Molecule: long non-coding RNA, 361 nt
Organism: Phalaenopsis equestris
Lineage: Eukaryota; Viridiplantae; Streptophyta; Magnoliopsida; Asparagales; Orchidaceae
Exons: 3
Source: RefSeq, a predicted model, not a curated record